CCUACGGGAGGCAGCAGUGAGGAAUAUUGGUCAAUGGACGAGAGUCUGAACCAGCCAAGUAGCGUGAAGGAUGACUGCCCUAUGGGUUGUAAACUUCUUUUAUAAAGGAAUAAAACGCGGCACGUGUGCCUUUUUGCAUGUACUUUAUGAAUAAGGACCGGCUAACUCCGUGCCAGCAGCCGCGGUAAUACGGAGGAUCCGAGCGUUAUCCGGAUUUAUUGGGUUUAAAGGGAGCGUAGAUGGGUUGUUAAGUCAGUUGUGAAAGUCUGCGGCUCAACCGUAAAAUUGCAAUUGAUACUGGCGGUCUUGAGUGCAGUUGAGGUAGGCGGAAUUCGUGGUGUAGCGGUGAAAUGCUUAGAUAUCACGAAGAACCCCGAUUGCGAAGGCAGCUUACUAAACUGUGACUGACAUUGAUGCUCGGAAGUGUGGGUAUCAAACAGGAUUAGAACCCUAGUAGC
RNAcentral lists this ribosomal RNA (458 nucleotides) under uncultured bacterium. RNAcentral's name for it is "partial 16S ribosomal RNA". It matches the Rfam family "Bacterial small subunit ribosomal RNA", at positions 338 to 794 of the family's 1533-position model. The record is from RNAcentral.